This 354-nucleotide ribosomal RNA is filed under the name uncultured bacterium. RNAcentral's name for it is "bacterial SSU rRNA". It matches the Rfam family "Bacterial small subunit ribosomal RNA", at positions 70 to 422 of the family's 1533-position model. The record is from RNAcentral.
CACGGGGUAGCAAUACUCUGGUGGCGACCGGCGCACGGGUGAGUAACACGUAUGCAACCUACCCUGUACAGGGGGAUAGCCCGGAGAAAUUCGGAUUAAUACCCCAUGAAUAUAUAGAAAGGCAUCUUUUUAUAUUUAAAGUUUCGGCGGUACGGGAUGGGCAUGCGCAACAUUAGCUAGUUGGUAGGGUAACGGCCUACCAAGGCUACGAUGUUUAGGGGACCUGAGAGGGUGAUCCCCCACACUGGAACAGACAGACGGUCCAGACUCCUACGGGAGGCAGCAGUAAGGGAUAUUGGGCAAUGGGCGAAAGCCUGACCCAGCAACGCCGCGUGGAGGACGACGGUCUUCGGA